GUUAGUUGCCAGUCAGGUCAUGCUGGGACUCUACAAACUGCCCGCGUAAGCGUGGAGGAAGUGGGGAUGACGUCAAAUCAGCACGGCCCUUACGUCCAGGGCUACACACGUGCUACAAUGGCCGGUACAGAGGGCAGCCACUUGGUGACAAGGAGCAAAUCUCAAAAGCCGGUCUCAGUUCGGAUCGGAGUCUGCAACUCGACUCCGUGAAGUUGGAUUCGCUAGUAAUCGUAGAUCAGCAAUGCUACGGUGAAUACGUUCCCGGGCCUU
This 270-nucleotide ribosomal RNA is filed under the name uncultured Bacteroidota bacterium. RNAcentral's name for it is "uncultured Bacteroidetes bacterium partial 16S ribosomal RNA". It matches the Rfam family "Bacterial small subunit ribosomal RNA", at positions 1109 to 1382 of the family's 1533-position model. The record is from RNAcentral. Lineage: Bacteria; Pseudomonadati; Bacteroidota.